UCAGUUCUCUUGACAUUACAUCUGUUAUCUAAAGCUUUUAAAAAAAAGUUUGACCUCCUGUCUCAGGUGGACCACCCUGCUUCCUGCCGCUGGUGUCCUGAACUUGUCAAGCAGUUGCUCUUGGACAGGAACACCUCCAGUGGAUUCGGGCUCCACAAACUGGAUCUUUGCUGUGGUGGAGAAUGGUCUCACCUCACUGAUGGAUGGAGAUGAUGGCACCUCUGGUAAAGGGAGGAAAUGCAGUGUGAUUACAACAAAAACUCUGAAAGAAAACCCUUCACUUCAAGUCUAUGCUCAUGAAAUCUUGAUGACAUCAGGGGUAUGUAUGUGUGUGUGUGCACCUGGAAGGACUAUGUGUAUAUGUGUACAUUUAUUUUAUGGACUGUAAAUCGUGGUUUGAUGUGUGUGUGUUU
Long non-coding RNA from Siniperca chuatsi (mandarin fish), 413 nucleotides. RefSeq lists it as uncharacterized. The transcript has 3 exons. Lineage: Eukaryota; Metazoa; Chordata; Actinopteri; Centrarchiformes; Sinipercidae. The record is from RefSeq and is a predicted model, not a curated record.